AUGGAAGGAUUGCUACAUAGGGAUUUUGCUCCUGGCCUUGCUCUGGCCGACUAGGUGAGAAGAAAGUUCGGAUCAACAGUUCACUUUUCUCCCUCCCGAGACACCAAAGAAUUCUUUUUGGUGGUUUCUUUCUCUUCGGCCUCUUUCCCUCUUAUGGUGGAUUCAGUUGGGGUUGCUUUGCAAUGUUGCAUUGGGGGUAUUUGCUCUGGUUUUAGGGUGGCUCCCCUCACAGCAAGAUCCUUUCGUUUCUCCGUUGCCAAUAACAAGGUGGGACACUUCAUAUAUGGUCUCAAAGAUCGUGUGUGGCCGGACUUUGUUUGUCACUUCCACCUGUUCAAUGGCCGCUUUGUCAAAGCUCAUUCUCUUGAUAUGCAUUGGCAUGCUCACAAGCAGCUCGAUGAGAUCGUAGAUCGCAAGCCAAUGGCUCUAAAAACAUCGUUAAAUUUCUUGAGCAAAGGCAAUCCUAUGGAUCAUUCCUCCUCUGCUGAGCUUGCUAAGUUUGGUUUGUCAAUUUGGUUGAUUGGAAUUUCUCAAAUAAGAAUGCACAUGAAGCUUCAUCAUCCUCCAUGGAUCAAUCAAAUUUUCAGAAGCAAAAUAUUCAUAUUCAGUUUGGGUCUUUCGAGCCAGAAUCUUGUCCUAGCAUGA
This 645-nucleotide ribosomal RNA is filed under the name Triticum aestivum (bread wheat). RNAcentral's name for it is "partial small subunit ribosomal RNA". Lineage: Eukaryota; Viridiplantae; Streptophyta; Magnoliopsida; Poales; Poaceae. The record is from RNAcentral.